CAACAGGGCGUUCGCGGCCCUCGGAGGGUUCUCUCUCGGGUGGUAGGGGUAACACCCGUCACGCGGCGCAAUUUCAUGAAUCCUUUCUUUACAGAGCACCGUUUCGUUCUCCAUUCGGUCGGGUGCAACAUGCCGCUGGAACUUAACAAAACCUUUUUUUGCAUCUAGCAUUACCUGUUCUGAUACAAACAAUCGUUACAACUUUCAACAAUGGAUCUCUUGGCUCUGGCAUCGAUGAAGAACGCAGCGAAAUGCGAUAAGUAGUGUGAAUUGCAGAAUUCAGUGAAUCAUCGAAUCUUUGAACGCACAUUGCGCCCCUUGGUAUUCCAUGGGGCAUGCCUGUUCGAGCGUCAUCUACACCCUCAAGCUCUGCUUGGUGUUGGGCGUCUGUCCCGCCUCUGUGCGUGGACUCGCCCCAAAUGCAUUGGCAGCGGUCCUUGCCUCCUCUCGCGCAGCACAAUUGCGUUUCUUGAGGUGUGCGGCCCGCAUCCACAAAGCAACCAUCGUCUUUGACCUCGGAUCAGGUAGGGAU
RNAcentral lists this ribosomal RNA (532 nucleotides) under Leptosphaeriaceae sp. PP34. RNAcentral describes it as "eukaryotic LSU rRNA". The stretch from base 200 to 353 matches the Rfam family "5.8S ribosomal RNA". Lineage: Eukaryota; Fungi; Ascomycota; Dothideomycetes; Pleosporales; Leptosphaeriaceae. The record is from RNAcentral.